UCCCCGUUAUCCGAGGCGGUUUCACCAGAGUGCCCAACUGAAUGAUGGCAACUGGGGAUAAGGGUUGCGGUUCCCUUUCGGGCACACCGAACUCUCAUCCGGCUUCCGCACAUGUCAAGGGUAGGUAAGGUUUUUCGCGUUGCAUCGAAUUAAUCCACAUAAUCCACCGCUUGUGCGGGUCCCCGUCAAUUCCUUUGAGUUUUAACCUUGCGGCCGUACUCCCCAGGCGGUCGACUUCACGCGUUAGCUUCGUUACUGAGAGUGUCAAACCCCCAACAACCAGCCGACAUCGUUUAGGGUGUGGACUAC
This 309-nucleotide unclassified non-coding RNA is filed under the name uncultured Gammaproteobacteria bacterium. RNAcentral's name for it is "contains 16S-23S intergenic spacer region". Lineage: Bacteria; Pseudomonadati; Pseudomonadota; Gammaproteobacteria. The record is from RNAcentral.